UAAACUGGAGGAAGGUGGGGAUGACGUCAAGUCAUCAUGGCCCUUACGACCAGGGCUACACACGUGCUACAAUGGCGCAUACAAAGAGAAGCGACCUCGCGAGAGCAAGCGGACCUCAUAAAGUGCGUCGUAGUCCGGAUUGGAGUCUGCAACUCGACUCCAUGAAGUCGGAAUCGCUAGUAAUCGUGGAUCAGAAUGCCACGGUGAAUACGUUCCCGGGCCUUGUACACACCGCCCGUCACACCAUGGGAGUGGGUUGCAAAAGAAGUAGGUAGCUUAACCUUCGGGAGGGCGCUUACCACUUUGUGAUUCAUGACUGGGGUGAAGUCGUAACAAGGUAACCGUAGGGGAACCUGC
This 357-nucleotide ribosomal RNA is filed under the name Salmonella enterica subsp. enterica serovar Barranquilla. Its description in RNAcentral is "bacterial SSU rRNA". It matches the Rfam family "Bacterial small subunit ribosomal RNA", at positions 1159 to 1515 of the family's 1533-position model. The record is from RNAcentral. Lineage: Bacteria; Pseudomonadati; Pseudomonadota; Gammaproteobacteria; Enterobacterales; Enterobacteriaceae.